GUGCUCACUUCGGCAACACAUAUAAUAAUAUUAGAAUGAUACAGAGAUUAGCAUGGCCACUGCACAAGGAUGACAUGAAAAUUCAUGAAGCAUUCCAUAUUUUU
Molecule: small nuclear RNA, 104 nt
Organism: Capra hircus (goat)
Lineage: Eukaryota; Metazoa; Chordata; Mammalia; Artiodactyla; Bovidae
Source: Ensembl